RNAcentral lists this transfer RNA (72 nucleotides) under Dreissena polymorpha. It matches the Rfam family "tRNA". From Rfam's summary of the family: Transfer RNA (tRNA) molecules are approximately 80 nucleotides in length. Lineage: Eukaryota; Metazoa; Mollusca; Bivalvia; Myida; Dreissenidae. The record is from Rfam by way of RNAcentral.
GGUUCCAUAGUGUAGUGGUAACACGCUCGCUUCACAUGUGAGAGGUCCAAGGUUCGAGCCCCAGUAGAAUCA